ACCCUGAGGACGGGGAUAAACCCGGGAAACUGGGUAUAAUACCCGAUAGGUUUCGGAUGCUGGAAUGCACCGAGGCCUAAAGCUCCGGCGCCUCAGGAUGGGUCUGCGGCCUAUCAGGGUAGUAGUAGGUGUAACGUACCUACUAGCCUACGACGGGUACGGGUUGUGAGAGCAAGAGCCCGGAGAUGGAUUCUGAGACACGAAUCCAGGCCCUACGGGGUGCAGCAGGCGCGAAAACUUUACAAUGCUGGAAACAGCGAUAAGGGAACCUCGAGUGCCGCGAUACAAUCGCGGCUGUCUAGUUGCCUAAAAAGCAAUUGAUAGCAAGGGCCGGGCAAGACCGGUGCCAGCCGCCGCGGUAACACCGGCGGCUCGAGUGGUAACCGCUUUUAUUGGGUCUAAAGGGUCUGUAGCCGGCUUGGUUAGUCUCUUGGGAAAUCUGGCUGCUCAACAGUCAGGCUUUCAGGGGAUACUGCUAAAGCUCGAGACCGGGAGAGGUGAGAGGUACUUCAGGGGUAGGGGUGAAAUCUUGUAAUCCUUGAAGGACCACCAGUGGCGAAGGCGUCUCACCAGAACGGAUCUGACGGCAAGGGACGAAAGCUAGGGGCACGAACCGGAUUAGAUACCCGGGUAGUCCUAGCCGUAAACGAUACUCGCUAGGUGUCGGCCACGGUGCGACCGUGGUCGGUGCCGUAGGGAAGCCGUGAAGCGAGCCACCUGGGAAGUACGGCCGCAAGGCUGAAA
RNAcentral lists this ribosomal RNA (744 nucleotides) under uncultured archaeon. Its description in RNAcentral is "bacterial SSU rRNA". It matches the Rfam family "Archaeal small subunit ribosomal RNA", at positions 111 to 854 of the family's 1478-position model. The record is from RNAcentral.